GGAAAGGCUCCAGCUUGCUGGAGUACUCGAGUGGCGAACGGGUGAGUAACACGUGGGUAAUCUGCCCUGCACUCUGGGAUAAGCCUGGGAAACUGGGUCUAAUACUGGAUAUGACCUUUCUCCUUAUGGGGUUUGGUGGAAAGUUUUUCGGUGUAGGAUGAGCCCGCGGCCUAUCAGCUUGUUGGUGGGGUGAUGGCCUACCAAGGCGACGACGGGUAGCCGGCCUGAGAGGGUGAUCGGCCACAUUGGGACUGAGAUACGGCCCAGACUCCUACGGGAGGCAACAGUGGGGAAUAUUGCACAAUGGGCGGAAGCCUGAUGCAGCGACGCCGCGUGAGGGAUGACGGCCUUCGGGUUGUAAACCUCUUUCAGCAGGGACGAAGCGUAAGUGACGGUACCUGCAGAAGAAGCACCGGCUAACUAUGUGCCAGCAGCCGCGGUAAUACGUAGGGUGCGAGCGUUGUCCGGAAUUACUGGGCGUAAAGAGCUCGUAGGCGGUUUGUCACGUCGUCUGUGAAAUCCUAGGGCUUAACCCUGGACGUGCAGGCGAUACGGGCUGACUUGAGUACUACAGGGGAGACUGGAAUUUCUGGUGUAGCGGUGGAAUGCACAGAUAUCAGGAAGAACACCGAUGGCGAAGGCAGGUCUCUGGGUAGUAACUGACGCUGAGGAGCGAAAGCAUG
RNAcentral lists this ribosomal RNA (683 nucleotides) under uncultured Actinomycetales bacterium. RNAcentral's name for it is "bacterial SSU rRNA". It matches the Rfam family "Bacterial small subunit ribosomal RNA", at positions 68 to 763 of the family's 1533-position model. The record is from RNAcentral. Lineage: Bacteria; Bacillati; Actinomycetota; Actinomycetes; Actinomycetales.